Molecule: ribosomal RNA, 518 nt
Filed under: Bacillus subtilis
Lineage: Bacteria; Bacillati; Bacillota; Bacilli; Caryophanales; Bacillaceae
Description: bacterial SSU rRNA
Rfam family: Bacterial small subunit ribosomal RNA
Source: RNAcentral
CGGCGAACCUGACGGCGUGCCUAAUACAUGCAAGUCGAGCGGUCAGUAUGGGAGCUUGCUCCCUGAUGUUAGCGGCGGACGGGUGAGUAACACGUGGGUAACCUGCCUGUAAGACUGGGAUAACUCCGGGAAACCGGGGCGAAUACCGGAUGCUUGUUUGAACCGCAUGGUUCAAACAUAAAAGGUGGCUUCGGCUACCACUUACAGAUGGACCCGCGGCGCAUUAGCUAGUUGGUGAGGUAAUGGCUCACCAAGGCAACGAUGCGUAGCCGACCUGAGAGGGUGAUCGGCCACACUGGGACUGAGACACGGCCCAGACUCCUACGGGAGGCAGCAGUAGGGAAUCUUCCGCAAUGGACGAAAGUCUGACGGAGCAACGCCGCGUGAGUGAUGAAGGUUUUCGGAUCGUAAAGCUCUGUUGUUAGGGAAGAACAAGUACCGUUCGAAUAGGGCGGUACCUUGACGGUACCUAACCAGAAAGCCACGGCUAACUACGUGCCAGCCGCCGCGGUAAUACA